Molecule: long non-coding RNA, 688 nt
Organism: Esox lucius (northern pike)
Lineage: Eukaryota; Metazoa; Chordata; Actinopteri; Esociformes; Esocidae
Source: Ensembl
GUCCCAUGUGAGCCACACAUUUGUGUUCCCUUGUUUUUUGUUACUUUAUUAGAACAUAGUGUGUGUGUACUCUACGUCGUAUUUCAUUGGUAGCAAACAGAAACAUUUGCUGUUGCACUGAAAAGCCUUGAAUAAUGCUGGAUGGAGUUUGGAUUCAUUGCGUUUAUCAUGCAGUUUGUCAGACGGUCCGAGCCAGGGAAUUCGAAUUUCCGCUUUCCGCUGCCCACGUUGUAAUUCCUGAUUGGGGAUGUCUGAGUGUGUGGUAAACACGUGCAGAAGGUGUGGGCUGUGAAUGUCCCAAUGACAGUGCUGGAGGAGUCACUGAGAAACACUCGCCAUGAUCUUGGCACAGAGAGCGUUGGGCCUGUGCAAAACACAUCCAGGAGAUCACCUUAAAAGGAGGGGGACUCUUCACUGUUAUCAGAAGCCAGAGGAGCUGCUUCUAUCCCAGCUGGUUCCGCCUCAUCCUACAGCCUUCCUCUGUUUUCUUUGACUAGUCACCUACUUGUAUGUGAUUUCAUUGUCUACAAUGGGUGUGCGGGUAUGUUCCUGUAGUGCCUUACUAGUGAGGACUAUUAUUCCUCCUCAAAAAGUCCUCCACAGAAGCAUAUUUAACUAUGGAAAAUACUGACAAGUGAGGACCUUUUGUACAAUUGUCACUUAUAGAAAGACUAUUUUUGGCUUAGGG